AUUGAACGCUGGCGGCAGGCCUAACACAUGCAAGUCGAGCGGAUGAAGGGAGCUUGCUCCUGGAUUCAGCGGCGGACGGGUGAGUAAUGCCUAGGAAUCUGCCUGGUAGUGGGGGAUAACGUCCGGAAACGGGCGCUAAUACCGCCUACGUCCUGAGGGGGAAAGUGGGGGAUCUUCGGACCUCACGCUAUCAGAUGAGCCUAGGUCGGAUUAGCUAGUUGGUGGGGUAAAGGCCUACCAAGGCGACGAUCCGUAACUGGUCUGAGAGGAUGAUCAGUCACACUGGAACUGAGACACGGUCCAGACUCCUACGGGAGGCAGCAGUGGGGAAUAUUGGACAAUGGGCGAAAGCCUGAUCCAGCCAUGCCGCGUGUGUGAAGAAGGUCUUCGGAUUGUAAAGCACUUUAAGUUGGGAGGAAGGGCAGUAAGUUAAUACCUUGCUGUUUUGACGUUACCAACAGAAUAAGCACCGGCUAACUUCGUG
Molecule: ribosomal RNA, 484 nt
Filed under: uncultured bacterium
Lineage: Bacteria
Description: partial 16S ribosomal RNA
Rfam family: Bacterial small subunit ribosomal RNA
Source: RNAcentral